Molecule: unclassified non-coding RNA, 3760 nt
Filed under: Centruroides sculpturatus (bark scorpion)
Lineage: Eukaryota; Metazoa; Arthropoda; Arachnida; Scorpiones; Buthidae
Description: spatacsin-like, transcript variant X3
Source: RNAcentral
UUUUUCUAGGAUAAUGCAUCAUUUGAUCCAUCAAGACUCUUUGGUUGGCAAACAACUAACAAUAUUAAAAAUGAAGAUGCUAUGACUGAACUACCUCAUUUUUCAUUAUCAAAUUUAGUUGAAACAUAUGGAUAUAAGAAAAAACUUACUUUUCAUUAUUAUUUAUUAAAUGGUAGGCCAAGCUAUGCUUAUGCAAAAUUCAUUGUUAAAGAAAUUGCAAUGGCUGGAACAAUUACUGUUAGAAGAACUUCAGCAGCAUGUAAAGAAGCUUUAUUACUUGCUAUUAGAAAUUAUAGUAUAACAAAAAUUACUUCAGCCUGUAUACUAUUUACUGAAAUGUUGGGCCAUGAUUCAUUAAAACUAAGAACUUAUAUUCAGAUUGCAUUAAUUGUUCAUAAAGCGAGAAAUUCAGAUAAAGACAUUGUGGAUUCUGAAAUAGUAACUCUUUUGGAAAUUUCUCUUGAUAAUAAAAAUGCUGCCCAAGAAUUUUUAUCGAUAUUGGUACCAGCUGUGCAAAGAGAAAUUAAUUUAAUUGGAAGAAACAAAAAUUCUGCUGCUGAAAUAAUGUGGUGGAUUCCAGUUGUAGCAUUUUGUCAAAUUCAUCAACUUGAAUAUGUUACAAUAUAUAUGAAAGAAAGAGCUCAAGCUGGUGAUUGGUUAAAGUUUUUAAUAUUUGCCCAGCUGUUUCAAAUUCCUCCAGUACUGGUUCUGAAGCUAUUAAGUGAAUUUAGUAACAAAUAUCUAGUUGAUCAUCUUUCUGGUGCUUUUCAACAAAGACAUUCACUUUUGGUGUUUGUUGAUAAUGAAAAUGUAUCAUCAUGUGUUCGAAGUAUGAAAAUCAAACAGACAAGUAAAGAAUUUCGAGAAACUUUAUACACUCGUAUUGGAGUUACAAAAGAUGCAAAAGUAGCAAGUUCAGGUUCUGCAACAGAGAUUUCAAGUGAUGAUGACACAAGUUCAUUGUGCAGUGAAGACACAGUUUCAAGUAAUGAUUUGGUAUUACUCUGUGAUGAUUUAUGGGGACAAAUAUUAAUAUGUCAUAAUAGUGAUAGUCCAUGGAGAUCAUUAUUACAAGCAAGCUGUUUACAUUGUAAUCCUAUUUUUGCUGUGAUUGCAGCAUCUUAUGAAGGUGCUUGUAUUAUACAAUGUUUAGCCACAUGGUUAUACAUUUCAAUAGAAGAAUCAGAAUCUAAUGAAGGAUCAUUGGAGAAAACUAUUGAUGAUUUAGAAAAUAUAAUGACCAUUGCAAUAAAAAAAGGAAAAAUCAUAUUACUGCAAAAAGGACUUUUAUUGUUUUUACCAGAUUCACUUUUAUUAUUGCUUAUAAAUUAUUUAGUAACUUUUAUGGUUAAUAAACAAUAUGAAUCAAGCACUGAGUAUUUGAGAGAAUUUCAAAGACAUUUUUGGAACUUUUCAGAUGAAAAAAAUGAAACAAAUAUUUUAAAUGAAGUCAAAUGGAUAGAAAAAAUGAGUGUUAAGCUUUUAACUUCUUCCAUUAUUUCCUGUGAAACUAUAUACGAGAAAAUAUUGAUGUCUGGUCAUUUUUAUUUUGCUAAAAUACAGAACAUGUUUCCUACUGUUGAAAAUGUACCAGACUUCAAUAAAUUAUAUAAACUACUUCAGUAUGUUGGAGAUCUUGAUAUAGAUAUUAAUCUAGAGGAUAUUUUAGAUGAUGAGCAAAGUGAAAAGUAUAAAGAAUCAUGCACUUCUAUUAUAGAGAAAUUGCAACAACAGCAGCAAAAUAAUGAUGCUUAUAUGUUUGCUAAAAUUGCCAAACUACCACUGGAUGAAAUACUUCUAUGUCAGAUCUCAAAUGAGACAAAAAAAAUAAAGAAAUUAUUGGAUUGGAAUGAUCUAAAGAAAAGAAUUCAAUACUGGAAACAAUGUGCUAAUGUUUUUAAAAUUGGAAAUAUUAAGCCUGAAAUACCUGCUUAUUUCUUUAAGGAAGAAUGUGAUUUGGCAGAUUCCUAUGUUGAAAAGUAUAUUUUAAUAAAGUUAGCAACUGAUUGGUUUAUGAAAGCACCAUCACUUUCUGAAGACAUUUUCAAAGUGCUAAAUGAAUGGGAUGUAAAUUUAUGGCUGUAUUGCAUUAAAGGAAUAGUGGAAAUGAAAAAAUUGAAUUUAGAAGAUUUAAUAGUCUCAGAAAUUGAAAGAAAUUGUGAAGACUUUUUUGAUUGUCAUCAGGAAAAUUUAAAUACAUCAUAUUUUCCUCUAAAACUGGAAACUGAUGAGGAAAUACUGAUUUUAGAACAAAUAAUUGGAAAAUUAUUGAAUGCAGGAAAUUUAAAACAAGCUCAAAAACUUAAUAAUCUAUUUUUCCAUAAAAGUAAGGAUGUUAACAUUGUAAAAAUAUGUUUGAACCUUGCGCAGGAAAUUAUUCUUCCAACUAAUCCAGAAGUUGUCUCAUUGAUAUCAGAAAUUGAACAAUCAAUGUAUUUUCCUCAAAAUAAAAUUUUUGGAGAAGGAGAUUUAGCAUCACACAUUUCUUCUCAUCAGAAUGAAGUUAUAAAUACCAUCAGAAAGUUAGGUGCAAUAUCUAAAGAUGCAACAUUAGCUUGUAAAAGAAUAUUAAUAUAUUAUUCUGUUGCAAAGAUUCUUGAUCAAACUUAUGAUGAUAUAAAAAGUCAGUCAAAAUCAUUUUCAUUGAUUAAAACUAUAUUAACCUGUUCAUAUCCUGAAAAAUAUGCCUUAGCAAAAGAUUUAUUAAUUGCAAAUUCAGUAAGCAAUGAUGAGAUCACAGAAUUCCUUAGUGAAGAAGUGAUGUCAUGUUUACAAAUAUAUACAGGAAUUGCAGAAUUUUCAAUACCCCAGAGUAAUAAUGAAUUGAUAUUUAAUCCCAGUAAUACCAAAAGUUUUCAACAAUUACUACAUUUAUGUGAUGAUCCUUCUUUACUGGGAACAAGACUUCUGAAUAUCAUUGACAGAGAAAUGGAAAAGAAAGUGAAUGUCUGGACAAAAUCAAAUCUGAGUUUGGUGGUGGAACUCUAUAUUAGAUCCCAUGAUUGUUUCAGUGCCACUUGUAAUAUGGAAGGAAUUUCAAAAGUACUUCAUAGAGCUAGAAAUUUGGCAAGAAACUUAACAGAUAGUCAAGAAUUUCAAUUAUUGGUACGGCUGUUAACAGGAAUUGGAAGAUAUAGUGAAAUGACUUAUAUUUUUGAUAUUCUUAGAGAAAGCAGACAAUUUGAACUUCUAUUUCGUAAGGGUAUGGAAAAGGUUCCAAAUCUUCGACUUGCCUUAUUAGAUUAUUUAAAACGUUGUCAGACAGUAGAUUCAGAUGUAUAUUCAAUGUUGGCUUUGAACUUCAGCAUGUUUCGAGAGAUUGCAGAGAUACUGGAAAAAUCUGCAAGAGAUUCUGUUAUAAAAAUAAGAAAGAAGAAAACUGGUAAUGCAAAUGUCAAAGAUGAUUUGGUAACUACAAUGCAUGAAUUUGCUGAUGCAGCAGAGAGUUUUUGCAAGUUUAUUUAUUUUAGGCAGAUUGUUUGUUUCAUGCCGAAGAAUGUAUUUUGCAAGCAAAACUUGUAGCUUUGCAAAUUCAUUUGCUUCCUAGUGGAAUAUGGAUCAUUGGAUUGAUAGAUAAAGAAGUCAGCAAAUUUAUUGAAGAACAUAAUAAAUUUUGUGAGGCCUAUAUAGUAUCUCAGGCAUAUAAAGAUCAUCAUUCAUGGGCUCCAGCUCUAUUUAGGCAAGUUAUAGAAAAAGGAAAUUGGGAAUAUUUUUCAGAAUUUGAGAAAAAUAUUGGUUUGACUUCUAUUUUAAUUGAAGA